This 468-nucleotide ribosomal RNA is filed under the name uncultured bacterium. RNAcentral's name for it is "partial 16S ribosomal RNA". It matches the Rfam family "Bacterial small subunit ribosomal RNA", at positions 28 to 507 of the family's 1533-position model. The record is from RNAcentral.
GACGAACGCUGGCGGCGUGCUUAACACAUGCAAGUCGAACGGAAAGGCCCUGCUUUUGUGGGGUGCUCGAGUGGCGAACGGGUGAGUAACACGUGAGUAACCUGCCCUUGACUUUGGGAUAACUUCAGGAAACUGGGGCUAAUACCGGAUAGGAGCUCCUGCUGCAUGGUGGGGGUUGGAAAGUUUCGGCGGUUGGGGAUGGACUCGCGGCUUAUCAGCUUGUUGGUGGGGUAGUGGCUUACCAAGGCUUUGACGGGUAGCCGGCCUGAGAGGGUGACCGGCCACAAUGGGACUGAGGGACGGCCCAGACUCCUACGGGAGGCAACAGGGGGGAAUUUUGCACAAUGGGCGGGAGCCUGAUGCAGCAACGCCGGGUUCGGGAAGACGGCCUUCGGGGUGUAAACCGCUUUCGCCUGUGACGAAGCGUGAGUGACGGUAAUGGGUAAAGAAGCACCGGCUAACUACGUG